RNAcentral lists this ribosomal RNA (484 nucleotides) under uncultured bacterium. Its description in RNAcentral is "partial 16S ribosomal RNA". It matches the Rfam family "Bacterial small subunit ribosomal RNA", at positions 30 to 507 of the family's 1533-position model. The record is from RNAcentral.
AUUGAACGCUGGCGGCAGGCCUAACACAUGCAAGUCGAGCGGAUGAAGGGAGCUUGCUCCUGGCUUCAGCGGCGGACGGGAGAGUAAUGCCUAGAAAUCUGCCUGGUAGUGGGGGAUAACGUCCGGAAACGGGCGCUAAUACCGCAUACGCCCUGAGGGAGAAAGGGGGGGAUCUUCGGACCUCACGCUAUCAGAUGAGCCUAGGUCGGAUUAGCUAGUUGGUGGGGUAAAGGCCUACCAAGGCGACGAUCCGUAACUGGUCUGAGAGGAUGAUCAGCCACACUGGAACUGAGACACGGUCCAGACUCCUACGGGAGGCAGCAGUGGGGAAUAUUGGACAAUGGGCGAAAGCCUGAUCCAGCCAUGCCGCGUGUGUGAAGAAGGUCUUCGGAUUGUAAAGCACUUUUAUUUGGGAGGAAGGGCAGUAAGUUAAUACCUUGCUGUUUUGACGUUACCAGCAGAAUAAGCACCGGCUAACUUCGUG